Molecule: ribosomal RNA, 253 nt
Filed under: uncultured bacterium
Lineage: Bacteria
Description: partial 16S ribosomal RNA
Rfam family: Bacterial small subunit ribosomal RNA
Source: RNAcentral
UACAGAGGGUGCAAGCGUUAAUCGGAAUUACUGGGCGUAAAGCGUGCGUAGACGGUUAUGUAAGUCGGGUGUGAAAGCCCCGGGCUCAACCUGGGAAUGCCAUUCGAGACUGCAUAGCUAGGGUGCGGAAGAGGGAAGCGGAAUUUCCGGUGUAGCGGUGAAAUGCGUAGAUAUCGGAAGGAACACCAGAGGCGAAAGCGGCUUCCUGGUCCAGCAUCGACGUUCAGGCACGAAAGCGUGGGGAGCAAACAGG